ACUCGUCUGUUGAUCGGAUGGU
This 22-nucleotide small RNA is filed under the name Arabidopsis thaliana (thale cress). RNAcentral describes it as "ATSL190410". The record is from RNAcentral. Lineage: Eukaryota; Viridiplantae; Streptophyta; Magnoliopsida; Brassicales; Brassicaceae.